Molecule: ribosomal RNA, 848 nt
Filed under: mouse gut metagenome
Description: bacterial SSU rRNA
Rfam family: Bacterial small subunit ribosomal RNA
Source: RNAcentral
AAAGGCUCCGCGCACGGAUGGACCUGCGGUGCAUUAGCUGGUUGGUGAGGUAACGGCCCACCAAGGCGACGAUGCAUAGCCGGCCUGAGAGGGCGGACGGCCACACUGGGACUGAGACACGGCCCAGACUCCUACGGGAGGCAGCAGUAGGGAAUUUUCGUCAAUGGGCGCAAGCCUGAACGAGCAAUGCCGCGUGAACGAGGAAGGUCUUCGGAUCGUAAAGUUCUGUUGAAGGGAAAAGAGCGGAGAGAGGAAAUGGUACUCCGAUUGAUAUUACCCUUCGAGGAAGUCACGGCUAACUACGUGCCAGCAGCCGCGGUAAUACGUAGGUGGCGAGCGUUAUCCGGAAUGAUUGGGCGUAAAGGGUGCGUAGGCGGCCUGCUAAGUCUGGAGUGAAAGGUACCGGCUCAACCGGUACAGGCUCUGGAAACUGGCGGGCUAGAGAGCAGGAGAGGGCGGUGGAACUCCAUGUGUAGCGGUAAAAUGCGUAGAUAUAUGGAAGAACACCAGUGGCGAAGGCGGCCGCCUGGCCUGUUACUGACGCUGAGGCACGAAAGCGUGGGGAGCAAAUAGGAUUAGAUACCCUAGUAGUCCACGCCGUAAACGAUGAGGACCAAGUGUUGGGGAAGACCCAGUGCUGCAGUUAACGCAGUGAGUCCUCCGCCUGGGGAGUAUGCACGCAAGUGUGAAACUCAAAGGAAUUGACGGGGCCCGCACAAGCGGUGGAGCAUGUGGUUUAAUCCGAAGCAACGCGAAGAACCUUACCAAGUCUUGACAUCUGGAUGACAGGGACGUAACGGUCCCCUUACUUCGGUACAUCCAAGACAGGUGGUGCAUGGUUGUCGUCA